RNAcentral lists this unclassified non-coding RNA (251 nucleotides) under Hevea brasiliensis (rubber tree). Lineage: Eukaryota; Viridiplantae; Streptophyta; Magnoliopsida; Malpighiales; Euphorbiaceae. The record is from RNAcentral.
CUUAAGACUCUUCUCUGAAGCAGAACAAGUCAAAUCAGCCAAAGCUUAUGAGCCAUCCAGGCUUUUUUUUCACUCUGAGUUAAUCCCUUCUUCACCGAGGCAACCACUCCAAGGUUCUCUAUACCUCCAUCCACAGGCGAAGAAUGAGCAUACAAAUCUCCGCAUCAAUAAGACUCCAAAUUUGGUGAAUUUAUGGUCCAAAAAUACCGUCACGCACAUUACAAAUGACUUUGAUGAAUCAGACGUUGAUA